CACAUGCAAGUCGAGGGGCAGCAUGGUCUUAGCUUGCUAAGGCCGAUGGCGACCGGCGCACGGGUGAGUAACACGUAUCCAACCUGCCGUCUACUCUUGGACAGCCUUCUGAAAGGAAGAUUAAUACAAGAUGGCAUCAUGAGUCCGCAUGUUCACAUGAUUAAAGGUAUUCCGGUAGACGAUGGGGAUGCGUUCCAUUAGAUAGUAGGCGGGGUAACGGCCCACCUAGUCUUCGAUGGAUAGGGGUUCUGAGAGGAAGGUCCCCCACAUUGGAACUGAGACACGGUCCAAACUCCUACGGGAGGCAGCAGUGAGGAAUAUUGGUCAAUGGGCGAGAGCCUGAACCAGCCAAGUAGCGUGAAGGAUGACUGCCCUAUGGGUUGUAAACUUCUUUUAUAAAGGAAUAAAGUCGGGUAUGGAUACCCGUUUGCAUGUACUUUAUGAAUAAGGAUCGGCUAACUCCGUGCCAGCAGCCGCGGUAAUACGGAGGAUCCGAGCGUUAUCCGGAUUUAUUGGGUUUAAAGGGAGCGUAGAUGGAUGUUUAAGUCAGUUGUGAAAGUUUGCGGCUCAACCGUAAAAUUGCAGUUGAUACUGGAUAUCUUGAGUGCAGUUGAGGCAGGCGGAAUUCGUGGUGUAGCGGUGAAAUGCUUAGAUAUCACGAAGAACUCCGAUUGCGAAGGCAGCCUGCUAAGCUGCAACUGACAUUGAGGCUCGAAAGUGUGGGUAUCAAACAGGAUUAGAUACCCUGGUAGUCCACACGGUAAACGAUGAAUACUCGCUGUUUGCGAUAUACUGCAAGCGGCCAAGCGAAAGCGUUAAGUAUUCCACCUGGGGAGUACGCCGGCAACGGUGAAACUCAAAGGAAUUGACGGGGGCCCGCACAAGCGGAGGAACAUGUGGUUUAAUUCGAUGAUACGCGAGGAACCUUACCCGGGCUUAAAUUGCAGAUGAAUUACGGUGAAAGCCGUAAGCCGCAAGGCAUCUGUGAAGGUGCUGCAUGGUUGUCGUCAGCUCGUGCCGUGAGGUGUCGGCUUAAGUGCCAUAACGAGCGCAACCCUUGUUGUCAGUUACUAACAGGUUCCGCUGAGGACUCUGACAAGACUGCCAUCGUAAGAUGUGAGGAAGGUGGGGAUGACGUCAAAUCAGCACGGCCCUUACGUCCGGGGCUACACACGUGUUACAAUGGGGGGUACAGAGGGCCGCUACCACGCGAGUGGAUGCCAAUCCCCAAAACCUCUCUCAGUUCGGACUGGAGUCUGCAACCCGACUCCACGAAGCUGGAUUCGCUAGUAAUCGCGCAUCAGCCACGGCGCGGUGAAUACGUUCCCGGGCCUUGUACACACCGCCCGUCAAGCCAUGGGAGCCGGGGGUACCUGAAGUGCGUAACCGCGAGGAGCGCCCUAGGGUAAAACUGGUGACUGGGGCUAAGUCAUAAC
RNAcentral lists this ribosomal RNA (1436 nucleotides) under uncultured bacterium. RNAcentral's name for it is "bacterial SSU rRNA". It matches the Rfam family "Bacterial small subunit ribosomal RNA". The record is from RNAcentral.